This 262-nucleotide long non-coding RNA is filed under the name Solanum lycopersicum (tomato). RNAcentral's name for it is "partial TCONS_00192157". Lineage: Eukaryota; Viridiplantae; Streptophyta; Magnoliopsida; Solanales; Solanaceae. The record is from RNAcentral.
UAGGCCUUUGCUCUCUUGCAUCAAGCUAGACUAGGAUACAAGAAAAACUAACCUAGAAAUCUAAAUGCAGCAUAUUAUAUUUGGUUAGAUGUCAUGAAGAAGAUUCAAAAAGUUAGCCAAGACAACUGAAAUGGUAUCCAAGCUUCUUAAUACCAGAACCCUUUCUCUUCACACGUCCAAAACCAUCAUCAGAGUCAUCGAUAAGUCCUGGUGAACCCAUGUAACAACCAUAUCCUCCAACUGUUGGUUCAAAUACAUUGCC